RNAcentral lists this ribosomal RNA (824 nucleotides) under Streptococcus salivarius. RNAcentral describes it as "bacterial SSU rRNA". It matches the Rfam family "Bacterial small subunit ribosomal RNA", at positions 1 to 808 of the family's 1533-position model. The record is from RNAcentral. Lineage: Bacteria; Bacillati; Bacillota; Bacilli; Lactobacillales; Streptococcaceae.
UUUAAUGAGAGUUUGAUCCUGGCUCAGGACGAACGCUGGCGGCGUGCCUAAUACAUGCAAGUAGAACGCUGAAGAGAGGAGCUUGCUCUUCUUGGAUGAGUUGCGAACGGGUGAGUAACGCGUAGGUAACCUGCCUUGUAGCGGGGGAUAACUAUUGGAAACGAUAGCUAAUACCGCAUAACAAUGGAUGACCCAUGUCAUUUAUUUGAAAGGGGCAAAUGCUCCACUACAAGAUGGACCUGCGUUGUAUUAGCUAGUAGGUGAGGUAACGGCUCACCUAGGCGACGAUACAUAGCCGACCUGAGAGGGUGAUCGGCCACACUGGGACUGAGACACGGCCCAGACUCCUACGGGAGGCAGCAGUAGGGAAUCUUCGGCAAUGGGGGCAACCCUGACCGAGCAACGCCGCGUGAGUGAAGAAGGUUUUCGGAUCGUAAAGCUCUGUUGUAAGUCAAGAACGAGUGUGAGAGUGGAAAGUUCACACUGUGACGGUAGCUUACCAGAAAGGGACGGCUAACUACGUGCCAGCAGCCGCGGUAAUACGUAGGUCCCGAGCGUUGUCCGGAUUUAUUGGGCGUAAAGCGAGCGCAGGCGGUUUGAUAAGUCUGAAGUUAAAGGCUGUGGCUCAACCAUAGUUCGCUUUGGAAACUGUCAAACUUGAGUGCAGAAGGGGAGAGUGGAAUUCCAUGUGUAGCGGUGAAAUGCGUAGAUAUAUGGAGGAACACCGGUGGCGAAAGCGGCUCUCUGGUCUGUAACUGACGCUGAGGCUCGAAAGCGUGGGGAGCGAACAGGAUUAGAUACCCUGGUAGUCCACGCCGUAAACG